Erigeron canadensis is the source of this 423-nucleotide long non-coding RNA. RefSeq lists it as uncharacterized. Lineage: Eukaryota; Viridiplantae; Streptophyta; Magnoliopsida; Asterales; Asteraceae. The record is from RefSeq and is a predicted model, not a curated record. The transcript is spliced from 2 exons.
UCUACUCCAGUUGUAUGCGUAAAACAUUUGGUUUAUGUGUUUUUACUUGCUACCUCAUAUACUACGCCCCAAUCCCAUAGGUUCCUCCAUCGCAUGAGUCAAAGAUGAAGAUUGUAAAGUUGCUAUUGAAAAUCCUGGAAUUGCUGGCGAAAACCGAAGGCGACCAUCGCUUCAUAAAGAUCGUUGGCGGAAGAAAGGAUAGUGUUUGUUUUUCUGGUAGCGUUUGUUACCGGAUAUAAGGAUGAAUUUGUAUAUGCUGCUUAAGAAGCUGUACAAAAAUGAGAGAGCCAUUUUCCGUGUAUAUAUGUGUAUGUAUGUUUAUGUGUAUUGUAUGUUAUAUGUAUUGUACGUUAUGCUUACGUAUUUGUACAUUAAGAUACAAAGCUUGACAAUUGUUAGUUUUUACUAUUUAGUACCUGCGAA